AAGCUCCCUUUGGCAGCUCAUAUACUAAAAUUGGAACAAUACAGGAAAUAUUAGCAUGGACCAUGCUCAAGAAUGACAUGAAAAUUUGUGAAAUGUUCCAUAUUUUU
This is a small nuclear RNA of Myodes glareolus (Bank vole), 107 nucleotides long. Lineage: Eukaryota; Metazoa; Chordata; Mammalia; Rodentia; Cricetidae. The record is from RefSeq and is a predicted model, not a curated record.